This 142-nucleotide non-coding RNA is filed under the name Leptolyngbya sp. Lineage: Bacteria; Bacillati; Cyanobacteriota; Cyanophyceae; Leptolyngbyales; Leptolyngbyaceae. The record is from RNAcentral.
UACGCUGAGGUUUGCAUCGGUUCUAGCGGGAAGCAGUCGCUAGAGGUAACGGGGAAAGAGUAGUGCAAAGCUACCGCUGUCCCGCAACUGUGAUGAGAUUACUUCUCUGAGCCAGAAUGCCCGCCGAAGCCGCUCAGCGUGC